RNAcentral lists this ribosomal RNA (251 nucleotides) under uncultured prokaryote. RNAcentral's name for it is "partial 16S rRNA". It matches the Rfam family "Bacterial small subunit ribosomal RNA", at positions 525 to 775 of the family's 1533-position model. The record is from RNAcentral.
ACGGAGGUUGCAAGCGUUGUUCGGAAUAACUGGGCGUAAAGGGAGCGCAGGCGGCUAGGUAAGUUCAAAGGGAAAGCCCCGGGCUUAACCUCGGAAGGGCUAGGGAUACUGGCUUACUAGGGUCCGGGAGAGGUAAGCGGAAUUCCAGGUGUAGGGGUGAAAUCCGGUAAUACCUGGAGGAACACCGGUGGCGAAGGCGGCUUACUGGGACGGUACUGACAGUGAGGCACGAAAGCUUGGGGAGCAAACCG